GCGCCAUGGAGGGUGAUAGCCCCGUAAAAGUAUCCCUUUUCCUUUUAUCCAUUCCCUCCAAAGAGUCGAGUUGUUUGGGAAUGCAGCUCUAAGUGGGUGGUAAAUUCCAUCUAAAGCUAAAUAUUGGCGAGAGACCGAUAGCGAACAAGUACAGUGAUGGAAAGAUGAAAAGCACUUUGAAAAGAGAGUGAAAAAGUACGUGAAAUUGUUGAAAGGGAAGGGCUUGCAAGCAGACACAACCUCGGUUGGGCCAGCAUCGGAGUGGGGGGAGACAAAAAAGAAAAGGAAUGUAACUCUUU
RNAcentral lists this ribosomal RNA (299 nucleotides) under Metschnikowia reukaufii. RNAcentral describes it as "partial 26S ribosomal RNA". It matches the Rfam family "Eukaryotic large subunit ribosomal RNA", at positions 200 to 484 of the family's 3401-position model. The record is from RNAcentral. Lineage: Eukaryota; Fungi; Ascomycota; Pichiomycetes; Serinales; Metschnikowiaceae.